CAAGGGGAUGCAACAGUGAUUAAAAGUCUCAGCAGGAUGGCUGAAUGCUGAUUUUUUUUUAAGUUCAUCCCAAUUUUUUUUUGGAAAGAAGCAAAAAGAGCGCUCAUUUUUGAGCUGUUCAAUGGUGACUGGUUUCUGAAAGUCUGCAUUUCCAAAGAAGAAGCGAAAUAUCAGUCAGUCUGAAAGGUAUAGUGGGAUUGUUUCUGGGAUGAACAAAGAGCAAGUGUGAACAGCACGACAACACCGUUUGACACUUUAAGGAUUAGAAAGCACAUAAAGGAAACAAAGGCUGGCAAAGAAACACAUGUUAAAGCUUUUAGGGUGUUUAAUAGCGUCAGAGAAAGUUAAAUUAAAACGCCGCAGCCACAUCUCACGACACGCAACAGAGUACAUCUGCAGUGGUUUAAGAGCAAGCUGUGUGUCCCAUCUCCAAUCUGCCAUGUUUGCUGUGAGUGGUGCAUGGGUGGUAGGGUGGAAAACUUAAUGUAUAGUUGAAUAAUUUCAAAGUAAGAAAAUAAAAGUGUGCCCACCACAGAUCCCGAAGCCGUUAACGAUUCAAAACCAAGGAAGUCAGCUCACUCCAAGCUGAACACUGACCACCCUCCCACCAGUGUGACCUCCUCAGAUCCGUGGCUCCUGUGCUAAAGCCAAAGCUGCACAUGCAACCCCCUCCGAAUUUUACAUGUACCACCUCAACUACACAGAGUCAAAAUUAGUCCGUUGAUACGAUACACAAUGUGCAAAAGUAACAGUAGCAAAGCUUCAAGUCUGGUCAGGUUCGAGCCGCAAAGAGCUUUCUGGCUGACGUUUCUCUCCCUUUUGACUCAGAUUAAAACUGCUGCCGCCCGUGGACUAAAGCUUUUCACGCAUGAAUCACUUUGACGACUUCCCAGUCGGCCAUGUUGGAUUGGACGCCAGCCAAAGGGAAACAUGCUUGAAAUGUAUGAAGACAAAUGAAGGGACGGAUGGAAGGGGCUGAGCACUGCAGGCAGUGCCAUGCACAGCACACGGAGCCCAGACGAGCUCCUGCAACCCGCCUCGACGCGCGGAGGAGUCAGGUCCUUUGACACCAGCCCCUCGAGCGCACCUUAACCGCUGUGAACUUGUUAACGCCUUUCAAUCCCCGACGGAGGCCCCCGCGACGGAGCCUCGCAAAAGAUCAGAGAGCCUCUCUGUAAAUGCACCAAGAGUUGCAGAGGUCCCACCAGAGCAGCAUCAAGUGACGACUGUUGCAGCCGAGAGAGCUUCAUCUUUGAAAGAAGCAAGAUUUUGGAACUUGCAACCCCGAUCUUUUGUCUUUAAAUGUGUUUCUUUUGAUUUAUUUGUUGUAGAUGUUGCUUUUGCAAAUGCCUUCUACGGUGUUUCCAACUAGCAUUUGAAUAUGAAAUAUGGAAACUCUGGAUAUUUAUGUAUUGUAUGCACUGUAUCUGCCCCUGUCAAAUAAAGCAUAAAUAGAAUAAAGAACUAAGUU
Long non-coding RNA from Mugil cephalus (flathead mullet), 1471 nucleotides. RefSeq lists it as uncharacterized. The transcript is spliced from 3 exons. The record is from RefSeq and is a predicted model, not a curated record. NCBI's taxonomy places the organism in Eukaryota, Metazoa, Chordata, Actinopteri, Mugiliformes, Mugilidae.